Long non-coding RNA from Heterocephalus glaber (naked mole-rat), 2109 nucleotides. RefSeq lists it as uncharacterized. Lineage: Eukaryota; Metazoa; Chordata; Mammalia; Rodentia; Bathyergidae. The record is from RefSeq and is a predicted model, not a curated record.
CGGCGGGUUGGCUUGCCCUCCGCUGAGUGUUCCUUGCACUUCUGACCGUGGCUGCGCCCCCGGCGGGCUCCUUGGGGCCGGCUUGGCCUCCCACCCUCCAGCGCCCUUCCCUCCGCGGGGCCUGGAACAAGGUUUCUCAGCCGCAUUACGGGCGGUCACCCCGGGUGGCCCCAUCCUGCGGCCCGGCCUGUGCACUGGGGUGCUCAGCAGCUCCCUGGCCUCUGCAGACCCCUAGAUGCCUGCUUCAGCCCCGCCAGCGCUGGGCCUGACGACCACGUGCUGUUGGGAACGAGUGACUUACAACAAGCAGGCUGCGCCCUCCCUCAGCCUUCGCAGAGACGUCCAGACCACCCGUGGUCACUCGGCUGGCGUCUGAGGCCCAGCUGUCCUCCCUCGAGCCCUGUGUGACCCGCCAGUCCAAGGCGAAGACUUACGGGAAACAUCAGUGGAGACGAAUACAAUGGAGAAGGCCCGAAGCACAGAUGGAACACACCUCAGCCUACGACAACAGAGCGGUUUCUAGUCCAUGGGGAAAAGGAUGAAUUGUUCCAUAAUUCUGUUAGAAAAAGCAACUACAUGUGGGGGAAACAGGCUUCAUGUUUUGUACUGACAUAAAUUACAGAUGGAUAAAUACUGAAAUGAAGAAACCAACAAUAUGAAAGCAUUCAGGGAAAAUUGGCAAAUAUAAAAUCUUCGAGAGGGGAACUUUUUAAAGGCCAACACUUAAGUCAGAAGGUAUUUAUUGAAAAAGUUGAUUUGUCUACAUAAAGACUUAAAACUUAGCAUGUAUAAAAUAAAUGUUUUGCUUUAAAAAAGUAUAUAAAAAACAAUAAUCUGUUCUUUAGACUCUCACGGAAAGGUAGGCAGCUGAUACGUGAGACUGCCGUAGGAGUGACCAGGCCCUUCAGAGGAGAGCUGCUGAGCAUGCCUCCCUCCUCUGGUGACUGCAUCUCCACUUUCAUUACUUAAUCCAUGGUGCCUGGGGUUGAGGUGCAGCUGGCUGCACCCCAGGUCCAGAAGUGGGCAAGUGACCUAAGGCCGUCCAGUCAUCAGCAUCCCAUCUGUUGAGCUACACUGAUUGGUUCAGAGGUGGACACGUGACCCAAGUUGAUGAGCGCUACAAGCAGGACUUUUCCGGAUGAGUGGUUCAGUGACCUGAGCAUCACUGUGUAACCAGCAGCAUCCCAUCCACAGAGCUAGCGACUGCUGCAGGGAUGGAUAUAUCCAAGUUGGUGAGAGCUAAAGCCAGGAUUGAUUCUGGGAAUGUUCAGGAGGGAGAGAUUCACCUUCCUUUGAGCUUGGUGGGGGUUUUGUUAUUCCUGCUGCUGCUGCUGUUGCUGCUGCUGCUGCUGCUGCUGCUGCUACUGAUACUGUUGUUUUUGUUUUGAGCUUAGUGUUAUAAAGAUACAGGCCUGGAGUUGUCAAGGGUCAUUUUGUAAAACUCAAAAAGUAAGCAAUGCAGAAAAAGGUAGAUAUACGAGAGAAAGACUGUUUGAAAAAGAUAGCUUGUGGCCUGGUGUGGUGGCAAGCGCUUGUAGUCCCAGCACUCAGAAGGCUGAGGCAGGAGGAUCGCUUUGAGUUUGAGGCCAGCCUGAGCUACAUAGAGAGUUUAAGGCCCACAUGAACUAUGUAGCAAGACCCUGCCUAAAAACAAAACAAAACAAGGGGCGGGGGAUUUAGCUCAGUGGCUCCACACCUGCCCCUCAAGCGAAAGGUCCUGAGUUUUAUCCCAGGUACCGAAAAACAAAACUAAGCAGGGGUGCAUAGUAAGCCUGCAGAAACAAGCCUCUCCAUGGUGACUGUGGAAACACAUCUCCCUCUCUUCAGAGAGCCAUAGCAAAGACCUAUAAGACACAACAAAAAGAUAGCUUACAAGAAUGGAUUCUAACACUUUUUUUUGUACAGGGGAUUGAACUGGGGAACUUGCGCUUGUGAGGCAGGUACGGUGCCAGUGAGCUAAUCCCCAGCCUGAGUCUUGAUUCUAGACAUAGCUAAAAGUAGCUUUCUCUGUGACAUUUCAUCGAGUCCAUCAAUUCUCUUUUUGGUUAAGCAGAUGUGACUGUGACUUGUAAUUGAAAAAGUCUUGGCCAAUUCAUGGAAUACUGUACA